This 63-nucleotide transfer RNA is filed under the name Loxodonta africana (African savanna elephant). It matches the Rfam family "tRNA". From Rfam's summary of the family: Transfer RNA (tRNA) molecules are approximately 80 nucleotides in length. Their secondary structure includes four short double-helical elements and three loops (D, anti-codon, and T loops). The record is from Rfam by way of RNAcentral. Lineage: Eukaryota; Metazoa; Chordata; Mammalia; Proboscidea; Elephantidae.
GGUGGUGUAGCGGUUAAGCGUUUGGCUGCUAACCAAAUGGUCGGCAGUUCUAAUCCACCACCU